Molecule: ribosomal RNA, 423 nt
Filed under: uncultured bacterium
Lineage: Bacteria
Description: bacterial SSU rRNA
Rfam family: Bacterial small subunit ribosomal RNA
Source: RNAcentral
AAGACCUUGCGCUUUUGGAGCGGCCGAUGCCUGAUUAGCUUGUUGGUAAGGUAAAAGCUUACCAAGGCUUCGAUCAGUAGCUGGUCUGAGAGGACGGCCAGCCACACUGGAACUGAGACACGGUCCAGACUCCUACGGGAGGCAGCAGUGGGGAAUUUUGGACAAUGGGGGAAACCCUGAUCCAGCCAUGCCGCGUGAGUGAAGAAGGCCUUCGGGUUGUAAAGCUCUUUCAGCCGGAACGAAACGGUUACGGUUAAUACCCGUGACUACUGACGGUACCGGAAGAAGAAGCACCGGCUAACUACGUGCCAGCAGCCGCGGUAAUACGUAGGGUGCGAGCGUUAAUCGGAAUUACUGGGCGUAAAGCGUGCGCAGGUGGUUUUGUAAGUCAGAUGUGAAAGCCCCGGGCUCAACCUGGGAACU